Molecule: ribosomal RNA, 888 nt
Filed under: Escherichia coli
Lineage: Bacteria; Pseudomonadati; Pseudomonadota; Gammaproteobacteria; Enterobacterales; Enterobacteriaceae
Description: partial 23S ribosomal RNA
Rfam family: Bacterial large subunit ribosomal RNA
Source: RNAcentral
GGAAAGGCGCGCGAUACAGGGUGACAGCCCCGUACACAAAAAUGCACAUGCUGUGAGCUCGAUGAGUAGGGCGGGACACGUGGUAUCCUGUCUGAAUAUGGGGGGACCAUCCUCCAAGGCUAAAUACUCCUGACUGACCGAUAGUGAACCAGUACCGUGAGGGAAAGGCGAAAAGAACCCCGGCGAGGGGAGUGAAAAAGAACCUGAAACCGUGUACGUACAAGCAGUGGGAGCACGCUUAGGCGUGUGACUGCGUACCUUUUGUAUAAUGGGUCAGCGACUUAUAUUCUGUAGCAAGGUUAACCGAAUAGGGGAGCCGAAGGGAAACCGAGUCUUAACUGGGCGUUAAGUUGCAGGGUAUAGACCCGAAACCCGGUGAUCUAGCCAUGGGCAGGUUGAAGGUUGGGUAACACUAACUGGAGGACCGAACCGACUAAUGUUGAAAAAUUAGCGGAUGACUUGUGGCUGGGGGUGAAAGGCCAAUCAAACCGGGAGAUAGCUGGUUCUCCCCGAAAGCUAUUUAGGUAGCGCCUCGUGAAUUCAUCUCCGGGGGUAGAGCACUGUUUCGGCAAGGGGGUCAUCCCGACUUACCAACCCGAUGCAAACUGCGAAUACCGGAGAAUGUUAUCACGGGAGACACACGGCGGGUGCUAACGUCCGUCGUGAAGAGGGAAACAACCCAGACCGCCAGCUAAGGUCCCAAAGUCAUGGUUAAGUGGGAAACGAUGUGGGAAGGCCCAGACAGCCAGGAUGUUGGCUUAGAAGCAGCCAUCAUUUAAAGAAAGCGUAAUAGCUCACUGGUCGAGUCGGCCUGCGCGGAAGAUGUAACGGGGCUAAACCAUGCACCGAAGCUGCGGCAGCGACGCUGAUGCGUUGUUGGGUAGGGGA